AUUGAACGCUGGCGGCAUGCCUUACACAUGCAAAUCGAACGGUAACGGGCCUUCGGGUGCCGCCGAGUGGCGCACGGGUGAGUAAUACAUCGGAACGUGCCCGAUCGUGGGGGAUAACGAGGCGAAAGCUUUGCUAAUACCGCAUACGAUCUACGGAUGAAAGCAGGGGACCGCAAGGCCUUGCGCGGACGGAGCGGCCGAUGGCAGAUUAGGUAGUUGGUGGGAUAAAAGCUUACCAAGCCGACGAUCUGUAGCUGGUCUGAGAGGAUGAUCAGCCACACUGGGACUGAGACACGGCCCAGACUCCUACGGGAGGCAGCAGUGGGGAAUUUUGGACAAUGGGCGCAAGCCUGAUCCAGCCAUGCCGCGUGCAGGAUGAAGGCCUUCGGGUUGUAAACUGAUUUUGUACGGAACGAAAAGCCUUCUUUUAAUACAGGAGGGUCAUGACGGUACCGUAAGAAUAAGCACCGGCUAACUACGUG
This 482-nucleotide ribosomal RNA is filed under the name uncultured bacterium. RNAcentral's name for it is "partial 16S ribosomal RNA". It matches the Rfam family "Bacterial small subunit ribosomal RNA", at positions 30 to 507 of the family's 1533-position model. The record is from RNAcentral.